Molecule: long non-coding RNA, 1551 nt
Organism: Piliocolobus tephrosceles (Ugandan red Colobus)
Lineage: Eukaryota; Metazoa; Chordata; Mammalia; Primates; Cercopithecidae
Source: Ensembl
UUUUUUGUGUUUUUUUUCUCAAUUUAAUUUUUUUUUUACUGUAACAUACCUUCUUUAUUUUAGCCUUUUAACCUUUAUUUUAACGUUAAUUUCUUUUUUUUUUUAAUUUUUUUUUUUUUUUUUUUGAUUUAUUUAUUUAAUUAAAAGGAUGAAUAGUAGGCGAAGAAAUAAAUAUGAUGACAAUAAAGAUAUGUCAUUACCAUUAGAAAAAACAGAAUUACUUAUAGAAAAUAUAUACAAUUUAAAAAAUUGUUUAUAUGUAUAUAGAAAGGAAAUACAAGAAAAAAAUAGAGAUCUUGAUCAUGUGAAUUCCAAUUUAAAUUUUUAUGAGUGUGUUUUAAGAAAUGUUGAUGUAGUAUGGAAACUAUUUAAUGAUGAUUUGCUUACGAUAAUAAAUGCAAAUAAAGAAAGUGAAAUAAGUUUAGAGCCUAACCCAAAAAAUAAAGAAGAAAAUAAAACAAAUGAAAAUGUUAUCAGUUCGAACAAAACUGACAAUUACCGUGAUGACAAACAUGGUGAAGCGCCUUAUUAUAAUAUAAAUAAAUUUGAACAGAUUUUUCUAAAGCACGUAAAUACAACUAAUGAGGAAGAAGAAGAAGAAGAAGAAGAAGAGCAGGAAGAAGCAGAAGAAAAAGAAUUAAAAAAAAUAGAAGUAAAAACAGAAAAAGAAAGAAAAAAUGGCGAAACGGGUGUCAUACAAAAUGACGAACAAGAAGACAUCGAAGAAGAUGACGAAAAACGUUUUGAUUUCUUCACUUCUUUAUCUGAUAAGGUAAAACACAUAUGGACAAUGCAUAAUAAUAACAAUAAUAAUAAUAACAAUAAUGAUAAUAAUAAUAACAAUAAUGAUAAUAAUAAUAAUGAUAACAAUAAUAAUGAUAAUAAUAAUUAUGACAAUAAUAAUAACAAUAAAAUAAAAGAAAACAGUGACACUAUCAACGAAAAGGAGAUUAAAACUGAAGAUAAUACUAGUGAUUUUUAUCACAAUUCAGUUGAUAGUAUAGGUGAAUAUAAAAUUUUGAAUAAAAAUAAAAAUAACGAAUAUAUUGAGUUAAACAAUUAUAACAGUAUUAGGAGUAGUGGCAGUUAUAACGAAUAUGAUAAUACUCAUAAGGAAACUACUGCACAUGAUAUUCCACUAAACAAUGUAAAAAAAGAAAAACAUGCAAAUAAUGAUGAUAUACAAAAAAUAGAUAAUAAUGAGUUAAUUAAAAAUAAUCCAAAAAUAAUGACUGGAAAUGUAAGUAAAAUUAUAAAAUCUGAAAAUGAAAAUAAUGUCAAUUUAGGUAAAUAUAUAAAACAAAAGGAUGUAAGUACAAAUGUAAUAAGAGUAGUGGAUGCUGCUGUACCAUCAAACGCUAGCACAACAGGCGACACGUAUGCAAGUACAAAUACUAACGGUAUCUGCAGAAUAAAAACUGGGCUACCAUCCAAAAGAGAGCGAUAUAAAGAAAAAGUUAUUAUAAAUUCGAAAAGAAAAAAAGAGUAUAACGAAGCAAAUGAUGAUAUUUAUAAUACAUGUGAAAGACCUGAGUUUGAAAAUAAAAUGAA